Molecule: long non-coding RNA, 329 nt
Filed under: Arabidopsis lyrata
Lineage: Eukaryota; Viridiplantae; Streptophyta; Magnoliopsida; Brassicales; Brassicaceae
Description: long non-coding RNA (ALYR_LNC002672)
Source: RNAcentral
AUCGUUGGAACCAAGUACCAAGCGAUACAAGUACACAUAAUCGCAACAGAUCUUCCAAAGAAAACCAAAAACACAAGAACCAAGAUCAUAGUCACAGGCAAGAAAUGAUUCGGUCUAGCGAUCUUCUUUAAAUUCUCGUUUAUAACACAGCUCUGUUUUUGCUCUGUUUCAGGCUCUAUGUUCUUGAUUUCCUCUGUUUUCGCUUCUUUGACUUCUGUUUUGACUUUAUCAGCGACAACAUCUUUCGUCUUCUUGUUCUUCUUGUGAAGAUAAGAUGAUCUGAUCACAACGGGGACACACUCACCGGAGCUUGUGAACACGAAUCGAAC